AAUUUUGGACAAUGGGGGCAACCCUGAUCCAGCUAUCCCGCGUGUGCGAUGAAGGCCUUCGGGUUGUAAAGCACGUUCGGCAGGGAAGAAACGGCGCUGGCUAAUAACUGGAGCUACGGACGGUACCUGCAGCAUAAGCACCGGUUAACUAUGUUCCAGCAGCCGCGGUAAUACGUAGGGUGCAAGCGUUAAUCGGAAUUACUGGGCGUAAAGCGUGCGCAGGCGGUUUGGCAAGAAUGAUGUGAAAUCCCAGGGCUUAACCUUGGAACUGCAUUCUUAACUGCCAGGCUAGAGUAUGUCAGAGGGGGGUAGAAUUCCACGUGUAGCAGUGAAAUGCGUAGAGAUGUGGAGGAAUACCGAUGGCGAAGGCAGCCCCCUGGGAUAAUACUGACGCUCAUGCACGAAAGCGUGGGGAGCAAACAGG
RNAcentral lists this ribosomal RNA (424 nucleotides) under uncultured bacterium. RNAcentral describes it as "partial 16S ribosomal RNA". It matches the Rfam family "Bacterial small subunit ribosomal RNA", at positions 360 to 776 of the family's 1533-position model. The record is from RNAcentral.